Triticum aestivum (bread wheat) is the source of this 115-nucleotide non-coding RNA. NCBI's taxonomy places the organism in Eukaryota, Viridiplantae, Streptophyta, Magnoliopsida, Poales, Poaceae. The record is from Rfam.
CAGCUACUCCCUCCGUUCGCAAAUACUUGUCACCAAAAUGGAUGUAUCUAGAACUAAAAUACAUCUAGGUACAUUCAUUUCUCCGACAAGUAUUUCCGAACGGAGGGAGUAGAUA